GAUGAACGCUGGCGGCGUGCUUAACACAUGCAAGUCGAACGGAAAGGCCCUGCGUUUGUGGGGUGCUCGAGUGGCGAACGGGGGAGUAACACGUGAGUAACCUGCCCUUGACUUUGGGAUAACUUCAGGAAAAUGGGGCUAAUACCGGAUAGGAGCUCCUGCAGCAUGGUGGGGGAUGGAAAGUUUCGGCGGUUGGGGAUGGUCUCGCGGCUUAUCAGCUUGUUGGUGGGGUAGUGGCUUACCAAGGCUUUGAAUGGUAGCCGGCCUGGGAGGUGGGCCGGGCACCAGGGUCCUACGGUACGGCCCAGACUCCUACGGGACGCAGCAGUGGAGAAUAUUGCGGAAUGGGCGCAAGCCUGAUGCAGCAGCGCCCCGUUCGUGAUGCCCGCCUUCUGGUUGUAAACCGCUUUCGCCGUUGCCGAGGCGGUAGUGACGGUAAUGGGUAAAGAAGCACCGGCUAACUACGUG
This 468-nucleotide ribosomal RNA is filed under the name uncultured bacterium. RNAcentral describes it as "partial 16S ribosomal RNA". It matches the Rfam family "Bacterial small subunit ribosomal RNA", at positions 28 to 507 of the family's 1533-position model. The record is from RNAcentral.